UACGGGGGGGGCAAGCGUUGUUCGGAAUUACUGGGCGUAAAGGGCUCGUAGGCGGCCAACUAAGUCAGACGUGAAAUCCCUCGGCUUAACCGGGGAACUGCAUCUGAUACUGGAUGGCUUGAGUUCGGGAGAGGGAUGCGGAAUUCCAGGUGUAGCGGUGAAAUGCGUAGAUAUCUGGAGGAACACCGAUGGCGAAGGCAGCCCCCUGGGUUAACACUGACGCUCAGGCACGAAAGCGUGGGGAGCAAACAGG
Molecule: ribosomal RNA, 253 nt
Filed under: uncultured bacterium
Lineage: Bacteria
Description: partial 16S ribosomal RNA
Rfam family: Bacterial small subunit ribosomal RNA
Source: RNAcentral